RNAcentral lists this ribosomal RNA (487 nucleotides) under uncultured bacterium. Its description in RNAcentral is "bacterial SSU rRNA". It matches the Rfam family "Bacterial small subunit ribosomal RNA", at positions 19 to 518 of the family's 1533-position model. The record is from RNAcentral.
CUGGCUCAGGAUGAACGCUGGCGGCGUGCUUAACACAUGCAAGUCGAACGAAGCAGCUUCUGCUGCAAGAAAGCUGACUUAGUGGCGGACGGGUGAGUAACGCGUGGGUAACCUGCCUCAUACAGGGGGAUAACAGUUGGAAACGACUGCUAAGACCGCAUAACCCGCUAGUGUCGCAUGACACGGACGGAAAAUAUUUAUAGGUAUGAGAUGGGCCCGCGUCUGAUUAGCUAGUUGGUAAGGUAACGGCUUACCAAGGCGACGAUCAGUAGCCGACUUGAGAGAGUGAUCGGCCACAUUGGGACUGAGACACGGCCCAAACUCCUACGGGAGGCAGCAGUGGGGAAUAUUGGACAAUGGGGGAAACCCUGAUCCCAGCGACGCCGCGUGAGUGAAGAAGUAUUUCGGUAUGUAAAGCUCUAUCAGCAGGGAAGAUAAUGACAGUACCUGACUAAGAAGCCCCGGCUAACUACGUGCCAGCCGCGGC